This 484-nucleotide ribosomal RNA is filed under the name uncultured bacterium. RNAcentral describes it as "partial 16S ribosomal RNA". It matches the Rfam family "Bacterial small subunit ribosomal RNA", at positions 29 to 523 of the family's 1533-position model. The record is from RNAcentral.
AAUGAACGUUGGCGGCGUGGAUUAGGCAUGCAAGUCGUACGGGUCGGUGUAGCAAUACAACGGCAAGUGGCGAAAGGGAGAGUAACGCGUAGAUACCUACCCUCUGGUCGGGGAUACCGCGGCAUAACCGCAAGUAAUACCCGAUAAUAUCUCCGGAUCAAAGGUGUGAUUCCGCCGGAGGAGGGGUCUGCGUUUCAUCAGCUAGUUGGUGAGGUAACGGCUCACCAAGGCUAAGACGAAUACGGGGUGUGAGAGCAUGCCCCCGCUCACUGGGACUGAGGCACUGCCCAGACACCUACGGGUGGCUGCAGUCGAGAAUCUUCGGCAAUGGGCGCAAGCCUGACCGAGCGACGCCGCGUGCGGGAUGAAGGCCUUCGGGUUGUAAACCGCUGUCGAGGGGGAUAAAGUGCAGGUGGGUUCUCCCAUUUGUUUGAUAGAUCCCUGGAGGAAGCAUGGGCUAAGUUCGUGCCAGCCGCCGCCGUAA